UGCGGUCGGAAAGGCGCUCUAUACGUAGCUCUUUCGACGAGUCGAGUUGUUUGGGAAUGCAGCUCUAAAUGGGAGGUAAAUUUCUUCUAAAGCUAAAUAUUGGCCAGAGACCGAUAGCGCACAAGUAGAGUGAUCGAAAGAUGAAAAGCACUUUGGAAAGAGAGUUAAAAAGCACGUGAAAUUGUUAAAAGGGAAGGGAUUGCAACCAGACUUGCUCGCGGUGUUCCGCCGGUCUUCUGACCGGUCUACUCGCCGCGUUGCAGGCCAGCAUCGUCUGGUGCCGCUGGAUAAGACUUGAGGAAUGUAGCUCCCUCGGGAGUGUUAUAGCCUCUUGUGAUGCAGCGAGCGCCGGGCGAGGUCCGCGGAUGCUG
Molecule: ribosomal RNA, 371 nt
Filed under: Cladosporium cucumerinum
Lineage: Eukaryota; Fungi; Ascomycota; Dothideomycetes; Cladosporiales; Cladosporiaceae
Description: partial large subunit ribosomal RNA
Rfam family: Eukaryotic large subunit ribosomal RNA
Source: RNAcentral